RNAcentral lists this ribosomal RNA (425 nucleotides) under uncultured bacterium. RNAcentral describes it as "partial 16S ribosomal RNA". It matches the Rfam family "Bacterial small subunit ribosomal RNA", at positions 354 to 796 of the family's 1533-position model. The record is from RNAcentral.
GUGGGGAAUCUUGCGCAAUGGGCGAAAGCCUGACGCAGCCAUGCCGCGUGAAUGAUGAAGGUCUUAGGAUUGUAAAAUUCUUUCACCGGGGACGAUAAUGACGGUACCCGGAGAAGAAGCCCCGGCUAACUUCGUGCCAGCAGCCGCGGUAAUACGAAGGGGGCUAGCGUUGCUCGGAAUUACUGGGCGUAAAGGGCGCGUAGGCGGACAGUUUAGUCAGAGGUGAAAGCCCAGGGCUCAACCUUGGAAUUGCCUUUGAUACUGGCUGUCUUGAGUUUGGGAGAGGUGAGUGGAACUCCGAGUGUAGAGGUGAAAUUCGUAGAUAUUCGGAAGAACACCAGUGGCGAAGGCGACUCACUGGCCCAAUACUGACGCUGAGGCGCGAAAGCGUGGGGAGCAAACAGGAUUAGAUACCCCUGUAGUCC